RNAcentral lists this ribosomal RNA (374 nucleotides) under Streptococcus oralis. Its description in RNAcentral is "bacterial SSU rRNA". It matches the Rfam family "Bacterial small subunit ribosomal RNA", at positions 948 to 1322 of the family's 1533-position model. Lineage: Bacteria; Bacillati; Bacillota; Bacilli; Lactobacillales; Streptococcaceae. The record is from RNAcentral.
UUUUCGAAGCAACGCGAAGAACCUUACCAGGUCUUGACAUCCCUCUGACCGCUCUAGAGAUAGAGUUUUCCUUCGGGACAGAGGUGACAGGUGGUGCAUGGUUGUCGUCAGCUCGUGUCGUGAGAUGUUGGGUUAAGUCCCGCAACGAGCGCAACCCAUAUUGUUAGUUGCCAUCAUAUAGUUGGGCACUCUAGCGAGACUGCCGGUAAUAAACCGGAGGAAGGUGGGGAUGACGUCAAAUCAUCAUGCGGCUUAUGACCUGGAACUACACACGUGCUACAAUGGCUGGUACAACGAGUCGCAAGCCGGUGACGGCAAGCUAAUCUCUAUAAGCCAGUCUCAGUUCGGAUUGUAGGCUGCAACUCGCCUACAAA